GCACCUGAUGGAAUUCGGUGACGUCACGAGCACGUACAGAGACGUGGACGGCCGUGACCUUGUUUUGAUCAGCUGUACGGUAACUUAGCGAUAAGAAAAUAGACUAUUGGUUAAAUAAAUUUAAAUUUAAGUGUGUUUUAGAAGAAGAGGAACUUUCAGUAUAUUCCUUAAGAUUAGCUGAGCAGCAGUCCAGUUUACAAGAUGACAAGAGUUCGAGAGACAAGAUACAAGAUCACUGAAACAAGAGCCAAGACUGAAGAUUCAAGAGAAGAGAAAGCUGGCAGCCAUGGACUUACAAGUGGAGAUUAAUAAGGUCAUGUAAAGUUUUAUUUUUUUUUUAUGGAAGACAGUAACUGGAGUUUUUUUUUGUUAUAAACAUUAUUUACAGAACUUUUUAGGUUAUAGUAAUGUAAUGGAACUAGUGAGUUGUGGUAGCUGUCAAAAAGAACUAAUACCUUAAGUUUAAUUUUUAAAGUUAAUUUUCUUAAUUUACAGAGGGAUUAGUAGUUUUUUUUUAAAACCUUAUUUAGGUUGGAAUUUAAAUACAAUAGCUUAUUAUAAAUGUGUACGAACAGUUCAAGUUCACAGUACUGAUAGGUAGGUCAGAUGAUCUUAUUGAUUUUGAUGAUUUGUUGUUUUGAGUUGAUUUUUAAGUGUUGUGAAUUAGACAAUGAAAUAGUUCUGAAAACUUAAAUUAUUUCAAGCUAAGAAAUAGUAAAGUUAAUUGUAACUCAAAGGACACCAGAAUUUAAUUUUUUUUUGAAUUAGUAAUGUUUGAAAAUUUUAUACUUUACAAGAAAGGUUAUAAACAAACAGAUCGGAUGGAACAAGGAUGCAGUAAAUCACAAUUUCAUUUAGAAUUAUUGAUUAGCUUUUGAGGUUAUGAAGUAAAAGUAAUUAUAGUUUAAAAGUUUGAAUAAAAAAAAAUGUUUUUUUUUAUUUGUUUCAAAUAGAAAGUUUAAAAGUUAAUUAGUCAUGAUCUAGGUGGGUGAUGGGGUGGGAAUUGGCCACUCUUUUUCCCUAUAACCUCCCUAACAUGGCCUUCUAUUACAACUAACAGAAAUAAAGAAGAAGAAAAAUGAAGAAUUAUUAGUUAGAAUGUUUCUUUCAUGAAGAUACCUGAUGAACUUUUACUGUUUGGAAGAAUAGAAGCAAGGUUAGUCAGAUAUUUUUACUCAGAAGAAGAAGAAGAUAAAGCAGUUUUAUGACUCGACAAGCCAGAGAUUGGUGUUUCCCCUCUGCGCUUCUAUUGACUACGUUGUUUACUCUCAUGGGAUAGCUGGUUCGGCACCAUGGAGAGAGAUUGGUGGGCAUUGUGGUUGCCCCCAGAAGAAAAGAAGAGUAGAAGAGGUUAUGGGUGGGUCAUGUGAACUGACCUUCAACCCAGUUACUUCGUGGGGACUAUUUGCUGUAUAGAGAAGAUCAAGACUCAAGAGUUAGGGAAAAUCAUUGGAGGUCAUGUUUCCCUUCCUUAAGUUUUUCCUAUCAAAUUAUUUGCCUGAUUAGAUUAUGCUAAGGGUGGGAUACUUUAUGUUAGCAGUUGAAUUAAUUAAUUUUAUUUUUUUGUGUGUUUGCAUCCUUGCCCAUCGAUUGCAGUUUAGUAGUUAGUUUUGUAUUUGUCAGGCGUGAUGGUAAUGCCUGUUGAUGAUGUUUCAGAAUUGUAAUCUGUUCGUGAUGAGGAUGGCACAACUCCGAAGCAGAUGUGGGGAGAAGUUGUGAGCUGCCCUGGAAGCCAGUCCAGUAGCUGUUGGAGUUGAGUGGUGUUUGCUGAUGGCCAGCCCAGGGAGCUACUCUUCUCGACAACACUGACUUCGAGGAGUUGCACCAACCUUCACGAGAUAAGAGUUUAAUUAAUUGAAACACUGUAAGGACACUUAAUUUUUUUUGAAGAACGAAAGAAGUAUGGUAAUAAACGGAAACUGAAAAAAAAAA
This is a long non-coding RNA of Bacillus rossius redtenbacheri, 1932 nucleotides long. RefSeq lists it as uncharacterized. The transcript has 2 exons. Lineage: Eukaryota; Metazoa; Arthropoda; Insecta; Phasmatodea; Bacillidae. The record is from RefSeq and is a predicted model, not a curated record.